CACAUUUGCAAAUUUCUGGCUUGAACAUUUACAUCCUGCUAAAGAUUAAGUAAACUUCAGUGGGAACCUUUCAGGGAUGAGGAAAAGUGAAAGAUAUGCUAGCCCCAGAUGAACAUUCCUGCAGAAGCAGUCAGAACAGACCCUCUGUAACAGCCAAAGCUCUGGAGCUGUCCUUGCUUGUUCUGCCUCCACCACGCCAAUUUCUGGCAGAGCCCAUGCUACUACAAAUCCAGCAGGACUUGCUGCAAGAAGUUGAACAUUGGGAACAACCCUUGGAGUAAUAUAAACCUCAAGCUAUGCCAACUGUUUAGGAUUCACUAAUUCAUAUUUAGGGAACAUAGGAAUAGUUUGAUGGACUAAGCAAUCAUAUUUUAGUGUGUAGAAAUGAUUGUUGAUUAAUCUGCUAGCAUAGACACUGACGUAGAGGUUUAAAAAAUAAAACUAAUCCUAGAGACAGGCUGAUUGAGAUGUACUUCCCAAAGCUGCAUGUUAUGCCACAGGAAACC
RNAcentral lists this long non-coding RNA (506 nucleotides) under Taeniopygia guttata (zebra finch). RNAcentral's name for it is "lncRNA (ENSTGUG00000019741.1)". Lineage: Eukaryota; Metazoa; Chordata; Aves; Passeriformes; Estrildidae. The record is from RNAcentral.